Molecule: transfer RNA, 94 nt
Organism: Hebeloma cylindrosporum
Lineage: Eukaryota; Fungi; Basidiomycota; Agaricomycetes; Agaricales; Hymenogastraceae
Rfam family: tRNA
About the family: Transfer RNA (tRNA) molecules are approximately 80 nucleotides in length. Their secondary structure includes four short double-helical elements and three loops (D, anti-codon, and T loops). Further hydrogen bonds mediate the characteristic L-shaped molecular structure. tRNAs have two regions of fundamental functional importance: the anti-codon, which is responsible for specific mRNA codon recognition, and the 3' end, to which the tRNAs corresponding amino acid is attached (by aminoacyl-tRNA synthetases). tRNAs cope with the degeneracy of the genetic code in two manners: having more than one tRNA (with a specific anti-codon) for a particular amino acid; and 'wobble' base-pairing, i.e. permitting non-standard base-pairing at the 3rd anti-codon position.
Source: Rfam
GGCCUUAUGGUCUAGUAGCAUGAUUCUUCCUUUGGGCGCUCCUUUGAGCUUACUUAAUUGGAAGAGGUCCUGGGUUCAAUUCCCAGUGAGGCCC